RNAcentral lists this unclassified non-coding RNA (423 nucleotides) under Lotus strictus. RNAcentral's name for it is "partial external transcribed spacer". The record is from RNAcentral. Lineage: Eukaryota; Viridiplantae; Streptophyta; Magnoliopsida; Fabales; Fabaceae.
UGUAUGAGUUGUGWUUGGGWUGUUUUUGCUGGCUGGCUCCAUGCUUUCGCAUCGAACGGUCGGCACGCAACCCCCGUUUCAAGUUGCGUCGUUGCGUGAUCGCGGUUCCUGUGUUGCCUACCUCUUGAAUGGUAUUCGCGUGGCUCGUCGGAUUCCGUCCAUCCAGCUCUCCUCCGAGGGGUGCUGGGGGACUUCAAAGUGAUACACAUGCCCCACGUUAGUUGUUUUGGUUACUGAAGCGGCUACCGUGGUGCAUGUGUGCUUGCUGCUCUCUCGGACGCGGUGCAUGAGAUGAAACACGGGAGACUCUCCCAUUCAGUCCCUUUAGUCUCGGUUGCCUUGGAAUGACACCUGCCUUCGUGCUCGCUUGCUCUCCAUUCGUGGUUGCAUGCGGGCAUCGACGAGCGGAGCUGUUAACGGAUG